RNAcentral lists this ribosomal RNA (253 nucleotides) under uncultured bacterium. Its description in RNAcentral is "partial 16S ribosomal RNA". It matches the Rfam family "Bacterial small subunit ribosomal RNA", at positions 524 to 776 of the family's 1533-position model. The record is from RNAcentral.
UACGUAGGGGGCAAGCGUUGUCCGGAUUUAUUGGGCGUAAAGAGCGUGUAGGCGGCCAUACAGGUCAGCUGUGAAAACUCGAGGCUCAACCUCGAGACGUCGGUUGAAACCGUAUGGCUAGAGUCCGGAAGAGGAGAGUGGAAUUCCCGGUGUAGCGGUGAAAUGCGCAGAUAUCGGGAAGAACACCCGUGGCGAAGGCGGCUCUCUGGGACGGUACUGACGCUGAGACGCGAAAGCGUGGGGAGCGGACAGG